AUCAAUAAGCGGAGGAAGAGCAACUAACCAGGAUUCCCCCAGUAACGGCGAGCGAAGCGGGAAGAGCUCGAGCAGCCAAUCUCUGGUGUUGAUCGCCAGCGAAUUGUGGCCGGCAGAGGCGGGUGCACCCGAGGCGACUCCGUCGAAGUUGACCUGGAAAGGCACGUCGGAGAGGGUGAUAGCCCCGUGCGGGGCGGGGUCGCCGAGGGCCGCUACCGUCUUCGGAGAGUCGGGUUGUUUGGGAGUGCAGCCCAAAGCGGGUGGUAAACUCCAUCUAAAGCCAAAUAGCGGCACGAGACCGAUAGCGAACAAGUACCAUGAGGGAAAGGUGAAAAGCACUUUGGAAAGAGAGUUAAAGAGGCCGCGAAACCGUUGGGAGGGAAACGCAUGCAGCCGAACUGGCCCGCGCCGGGUUCACGGGGCGUCGGCGCGUCCGUGCCACUGGUCGGCACCCUCGCGGGGUCGCCUUUGGUCGGACCGUGUCGCACCCCUGCACUCUCGGCUGCCGUGGCCGGCCAAGUGCGGUGGGGUUCACCGGGCGAGGAGCGCUCGUCGGGUAGGUGGCGCAGCCGAACUUCGUUCGGAGGCGAACUUAUAGCCGCGAGCGCGGAGCGUCCGGGCUCCACCGAGGAGAGUGGUGGCACGUUCCACCCGUUCAGCGCAGGCCCAGUGGCCGGGGCGCUCCUGUCCGUUCUGCCGCCGCGCCGCGUCACUGCACGCAGUGUCCGGUGUUGGCGAGUGUGCCCGGGCGGGAGGUCGUCUCACGUCUUGCGCUGUGGUCGCUUGGUCAGCCGUCGGCUGCAUUCGA
This 808-nucleotide ribosomal RNA is filed under the name Annulastrella ornata. RNAcentral describes it as "partial 28S large subunit ribosomal RNA". It matches the Rfam family "Eukaryotic large subunit ribosomal RNA", at positions 42 to 647 of the family's 3401-position model. The record is from RNAcentral. Lineage: Eukaryota; Metazoa; Porifera; Demospongiae; Tetractinellida; Theneidae.